Molecule: ribosomal RNA, 998 nt
Filed under: Gammarus cf. balcanicus 2MM10
Lineage: Eukaryota; Metazoa; Arthropoda; Malacostraca; Amphipoda; Gammaridae
Description: bacterial SSU rRNA
Rfam family: Eukaryotic small subunit ribosomal RNA
Source: RNAcentral
CACUGCUCUGACGGAUGCUUUUAUUAGACCAAACCGCUGAGGACUUGAGGGUUCGCUCUCCUGUCUGACUCGUGUAAUGGUGACUCUGGAUAACCAAUUCUGACAAGCGCACGUACUUCUCUUCUGAGCGAGACGGCGCUGCCACUUUCGAGUGUCUGCCUUAUCAGCUAUCAACCGUUCGUUAUGCGCGACCGAUGGCUUUGACGGGUAACGGGGAAUCAGGGUUCGAUUCCGGAGAGGCAGCCUGAGAGACGGCUACCACGUCCAAGGACGGCAGCAGGCACGCAAAUUACCCAAUCCCAGCAAAUGGGGGAGGUAGUGACGAAAUCUAACGAUGCGGGCGCCCUUUCUGGGGCCCCGCAAUCGGAAUGGGCACUUUCUAAACAACCUGUUGAGAACCUACUGAAGGGCAAGUCUGGUGCCAGCAGCCGCGGUAAUUCCAGCUUCAGCAGCAUCUAUUAAAGUUGCUGCGGUUAAAAGGCUCGCAGUUGAAUGUCUGUAUCGAGCGCAGGUCAGGUGGACGUUGGGGCGUGGAAGUACGGGCAGUUGGAUGUCCGUGGGGCCUUCGUGCUCAACGGCUCCUUCGGCUUUUCCACACACCCCCGUCCGUGACAAGCCUCCUCGCUCGGGUACAUAACGGGAAUCGGUCAAACGGAGUGUGGUUGGAGGUUGGGGUGCGUGGCUUCGGUUGCGUGCUUCUUCUUUCGGCUGCGUUAAGCUCCAUCGGUUUCACGGUCACCUUGAGUAAAUCAGAGUGCUCAAAGCAGUCGUAGGGGCCUUGCGCCCUGUGAACAGUCUUGACGGACUGACUUGGUUUUGCAUGGCAUGUCGGAAGACGACGUCGUGUGCUGGCUCAGAGGAUAAAUCAGUGGUACAAGCCAGCCUCGACGUAAUGAUUAAAAGGGACGGUCGAGGGCAUUGGUAUUGCGAGGCGAGAGGUGAAAUUCUGUGACCCCCGCAAGACCUCCUGAAGCGAAAGCGUCUGCCAAGGACGUUUU